Molecule: ribosomal RNA, 466 nt
Filed under: uncultured bacterium
Lineage: Bacteria
Description: partial 16S ribosomal RNA
Rfam family: Bacterial small subunit ribosomal RNA
Source: RNAcentral
GAUGAACGCUGGCGGCGUGCUUAACACAUGCAAGUCGAACGAUGAAGCCCAGCUUGCUGGGUGGAUUAGUGGCGAACGGGUGAGUAACACGUGAGUAACCUGCCCUUAACUCUGGGAUAAGCCUGGGAAACUGGGUCUAAUACCGGAUAGGAGCGCCUACCGCAUGGUGGGGGUUGGAAAGAUUUAUCGGUUUUGGAUGGACUCGCGGCCUAUCAGCUUGUUGGUGGGGUAAUGGCUCACCAAGGCGACGACGGGUAGCCGGCCUGAGAGGGUGACCGGCCACACUGGGACUGAGACACGGCCCAGACUCCUACGGGAGGCAGCAGUGGGGAAUAUUGCACAAUGGGCGAAAGCCUGAUGCAGCGACGCCGCGUGAGGGAUGACGGCCUUCGGGUUGUAAACCUCUUUCAGUAGGGAAGAAGCGAAAGUGACGGUACCUGCAGAAGAAGCACCGGCUAACUACGUG